GUUUUAAAGAGCACAACUUUUAUUCUAUAUGGUACAACUAAGUCUUAAAUAAUUUUAAAUGGCGUAACUUUUGCAUAAAAAAGUUUAACAUUCAUAUCAAAAAGUACAACUUUCACCUCAAAGAGUACAAUUUUUGCCUUAGCUUAACUUUCAUCUCAAAUAACGCAACUUCAUUUUCUUUUUUUUUCUUCUCUACUUCUUGACCUUUUCUAUAGCGGUCAUGACACAUUGUAGUCUUUUCAAGACAAGAAAAAAAAAAAAAUUUAUUUUUAUUCUUUCUUCUUUCUUUUCUUUCACUAUAUGUAUCUUUUUUCACUAUUGUAACCACUCCCUCGCCCUCUGCUAUGGCUGCUACCCCCUCCCUUGUCGGAUUGUUGGUGUUAACUAUUAAUCCCAAAAUCUCAAGCUGAUAGAAAUACACAACCAAUUCACGUAAAACGUACAGACACAGCACCUACGGGUCUCGAUUGUGACUCGACCCAACUAGUGUAAUGCCAUUUCGAACGUAACAUGGCCCAACUUGGCCUCUCGCCACAGGACAUGAUGCUAACCCCUUUAAGCCAAAACUCCUUCCUCUAGCAUCUACACAAAUUCACGGCAUGCAAAAAUCGAACCCACUGGCUCUAACACCACUUAUCGGAUCGUUGGCACUAACUAUUAAUCUGAGAAACUCAAGAUGUCAGAAAUAUGCAACCAAUUCAUUUAAAGCGUCAGACACAGCGUCUAGAGGUCUCAAUUGUGACUCGGCCUGACUAGCCUCACGCCACUUCGAACAUGACUUCGCUAAAUCCAGCCUCACGCCGUUUCGAACGUGACUUCGCCUAACUUGGCCUUACGCCAACAACUAUCAAUUGAUCUUU
Molecule: long non-coding RNA, 860 nt
Filed under: Ananas comosus (pineapple)
Lineage: Eukaryota; Viridiplantae; Streptophyta; Magnoliopsida; Poales; Bromeliaceae
Description: long non-coding RNA (ACOM_LNC009934)
Source: RNAcentral